UCUUUCUGCCCCUUUUUUCCCUUCUUCUCUUUGGAACAACAUACGUGUGUCUUCUAUUCAAGUCCUUUCCAUUUACAAAAGCGAAAGAUAAAAUUAAAUAAAGGGGAAAUUUUAUCUUAAUGUUCCCAUGAAUUUUGACUAAUCAUUUCUUCUAUUUUUGGGGGGCUAAAGGGAAAAGGGUUGGAAGAUCUAUGGGGAUUGUUGUUGUGUUUGGCAAGGUCAACUGCACUAUUUUUAGGCAUAGGGGUCACAUACACUGCUGGUGGUAGACUGUUUUUAAGUCAAUGCAAGUACGUGAAUGAUUUGGUAGAAAGAUGUCACAUGGACAAGGCUAAUGGUAUGCCUACACCCAUGGUCACAGCACAUGUCACUUGCCAAAGGAUGUUGGUAAUCCCAUGAUAAUCCUUUUGAAUAUAGAAAGCAUUGUUGGGACUUUGCAAUAUGUUGUGAUUACAAAACCUGAAAUUGCACAUGCGGUGAAUUGAGUGUUUCAUUUUGUGCAGUCAUCCCUUGAUACUCAUUAUGCUUCUACAACAGAAUUCUGCGAUACUUAAAAAGCUACAGGAGAUUUUGGCUAGCAAACAGACUGUCCAUUACUGGUUUUGUCGAUGCCAAUUGAGGACUUGAUAUUGAUGAAGGCAGGUCUACGACAGGAUAUUGUUUGUUGUUUGGUGACAAUCCCGUCUCCCGGUGCUUUGAGAAACAGUAGGUCGUACUGCAGAGGCGGAAUAAAGAAGUAUUGCUAGUGCCACUGCUGAUAUUAUGUGGUUGGGGUCCUUACUUGAGGAGUUGCAUAUGCAGCUUGAUGAUAAGACCGUACUUUGGUGUGGCAAUUCAAGCGCAGUUUUACACUCCAGGCAUGUGGAGCUUGAUUUAUAUUUUGUUCUAGGGAGAGUUGCUGCUGGCAAGUUGAUCGUUGAAGUCCCUGCAUCAGACCAAGUUGCAGACAUUCUCAGUAACCUUUGUCUGCAUUGUUUCAUUUGCAAAAUGAGGGGCAAAUUGAAGGUGAAGGCUGUUGAAGAUGGGUGAAUGUUUGUGAUUCACUACUAUUGUAAUUAAGUCAAGAUUUAAUCAGCAAUUCUAAUUCUAGUCUUAAUUAGUUUUGACGA
This is a long non-coding RNA of Gossypium raimondii (Peruvian cotton), 1109 nucleotides long. RefSeq lists it as uncharacterized. Lineage: Eukaryota; Viridiplantae; Streptophyta; Magnoliopsida; Malvales; Malvaceae. The record is from RefSeq and is a predicted model, not a curated record. The transcript is spliced from 2 exons.